CACCUUCCAGCCCAGGAGUCUGAGGAGCACACGUCCUGUGAGUGUCCCCACCAUGGCCUGGACGGUGCUUCUGCUUGGGCUCCUCGCUUAUGGCUCAGGUGUGGAUUCUCAGACUGUGGUGACCCAGGAGCCAUUGCAGUCAGUGUCUCCAGGAGGGACAGUCACACUCACCUGUGGCCUUAGCUCUGGGUCAGUCUCUACCGGUUACUACCCCAGCUGGUACCAGCAGACACCAGGCCGGUCUCCCCGCAUGCUUAUAUACAGCACAAACUACCGCCCCUCUGGGGUUCCCAGUCGCUUCUCUGGAUCCAUCUCAGGGAACAAAGCCGCCCUUACCAUCACGGGGGCCCAGCCUGAGGACGAGGCUGACUAUUACUGUGCUCUGUAUAUGGGUAGUUACACUUCCACACUGAUGCAAACCCAUGGGGAAGUUCAACCAAAACCUCCACAUAUGCACAGAAUGGCUCAGCCUUAA
Rhinolophus ferrumequinum (greater horseshoe bat) is the source of this 475-nucleotide non-coding RNA. The record is from the annotation of a RefSeq genome assembly. Lineage: Eukaryota; Metazoa; Chordata; Mammalia; Chiroptera; Rhinolophidae.